GAUGAAGAACGUAGCGAAAUGCGAUACUUGGCGUGAAUUGCAGAAUCCCGUGAACCAUCGAGUCUUUGAACGCAAGUUGCGCCCGAAGCCAUUAGGCCGAGGGCACGCCUGCCUGGGCGUCACACGUCGUUGCCCCCCCAUCUACUCCUUCGGGAUUGCGGGGGGCGGAUGAUGGCCUCCCGUGCGCCUCGCCGCGCGGUUGGCAUAAAUGCCAAGUCCUCGGCGACGCACGCCACGACAAUCGGUGGUUGCGAAACCUCGGUUGCCCGUCGUGUGCGGUCGUCGCGCAUCGAGGGCUCGAAAAAAUUGCCGGGUUCCGGCUCGGCUUUCAACGCGACCCCAGGUCAGGCGGGGUUACCCGCUGAAUUUAAGCAUAUCAAUAAGCGGAGGA
This 391-nucleotide unclassified non-coding RNA is filed under the name soil metagenome. RNAcentral's name for it is "partial contains 5.8S ribosomal RNA, internal transcribed spacer 2, and large subunit ribosomal RNA". The stretch from base 1 to 122 matches the Rfam family "5.8S ribosomal RNA", at positions 35 to 154 of the family's 154-position model. The record is from RNAcentral.